Molecule: transfer RNA, 433 nt
Filed under: Zygosaccharomyces rouxii
Lineage: Eukaryota; Fungi; Ascomycota; Saccharomycetes; Saccharomycetales; Saccharomycetaceae
Description: tRNA-Thr
Rfam family: tRNA (bases 361-433)
Source: RNAcentral
GAUAUGGUAAGCUAAUAUAAUAUAUGGAGUCGGCCUAUACAUGCACAUCGGUAAUAACAAGGAAGAAUUGAAAAAAAAUUUUGAUUCAUUAUAAUAAUAACGCUAGUGCCUGUGUCACAUGUAAAUUGUAGGCAGUGAUUAUUAGAAAUAAAUUAACUGUGGAGCACGUUUUCAAUUAAUUGAUGUGAAGGUGUUUUUCGGGUGUUGAUCGUUCCUAAUAUGGGAACCUCCCAGAAGUUCGAAUUACUAUUAGGGAAACUUUCAAAUUCAGAAAAAGAAAAGAUAAAAAAAAUGUUUCAAGAACAUGAUUUUAUUCGUUUCUGAAAUUACUACUUUGUAACACCAUUUCACAAGAAAGUAGCUUCUAUGGCCAAGUUGGUAAGGCGCCACACUAGUAAUGUGGAGAUCAUCAGUUCGAAUCUGGUUGGAAGCA